Molecule: ribosomal RNA, 803 nt
Filed under: Escherichia coli
Lineage: Bacteria; Pseudomonadati; Pseudomonadota; Gammaproteobacteria; Enterobacterales; Enterobacteriaceae
Description: partial 23S ribosomal RNA
Rfam family: Bacterial large subunit ribosomal RNA
Source: RNAcentral
CGGCCGUAACUAUAACGGUCCUAAGGUAGCGAAAUUCCUUGUCGGGUAAGUUCCGACCUGCACGAAUGGCGUAAUGAUGGCCAGGCUGUCUCCACCCGAGACUCAGUGAAAUUGAACUCGCUGUGAAGAUGCAGUGUACCCGCGGCAAGACGGAAAGACCCCGUGAACCUUUACUAUAGCUUGACACUGAACAUUGAGCCUUGAUGUGUAGGAUAGGUGGGAGGCUUUGAAGUGUGGACGCCAGUCUGCAUGGAGCCGACCUUGAAAUACCACCCUUUAAUGUUUGAUGUUCUAACGUGGGCCCGUAAUCCGGGUUGCGGACAGUGUCUGGUGGGUAGUUUGACUGGGGCGGUCUCCUCCUAAAGAGUAACGGAGGAGCACGAAGGUUGGCUAAUCCUGGUCGGACAUCAGGAGGUUAGUGCAAUGGCAUAAGCCAGCUUGACUGCGAGCGUGACGGCGCGAGCAGGUGCGAAAGCAGGUCAUAGUGAUCCGGUGGUUCUGAAUGGAAGGGCCAUCGCUCAACGGAUAAAAGGUACUCCGGGGAUAACAGGCUGAUACCGCCCAAGAGUUCAUAUCGACGGCGGUGUUUGGCACCUCGAUGUCGGCUCAUCACAUCCUGGGGCUGAAGUAGGUCCCAAGGGUAUGGCUGUUCGCCAUUUAAAGUGGUACGCGAGCUGGGUUUAGAACGUCGUGAGACAGUUCGGUCCCUAUCUGCCGUGGGCGCUGGAGAACUGAGGGGGGCUGCUCCUAGUACGAGAGGACCGGAGUGGACGCAUCACUGGUGUUCGGGUUGUCAUGCCAAU